UCGAUAACUCCGAUUGAGUUUGAAUGAAUUGAAUAUCUAGAACUAUUUUCUAUUUCCCGAUAAUUUUUGGGUCGGUCCGGCCGACCCUGACGAGCCGUCACUGUUUCACUUCACUUUCGUUUGCUGCUUGAAUCCCGACCAAAUAUGCGGCUCGAAGGAUCAAAUUUGUUGGGUAUUUUCUCAACUUUAUGUUACGAUAAAAACGCUAUUUGUUAACGAAUAAUAUAUUCACUUCUGUGGUUACAUUUACAUGUAUAUGCUUAUGCUAGUUGACUGUAUAAUAGACUGAAUGACUUGCGUUCCCGCAUAGACUCGCAGGGUGUCAAGUGCUUUCAAGUGGGGUUGGUUGCACAUGGCCCCACAGUUUCUAGAAAAGUCUAUGAAACCCAUAGGCGGAGCAUGAUAAGGGUUCAAACUGAUUAUAUUAAUUCUAAACACUGUUUGUGCAUCACCUUUCAUCGUAAUCAUCUGCAAGGAAGAUGGAAGUAAAUAAACUGAAGUUCCCCAAUAGGUGAUAUUGAAUUUUCUUGAAAUAUAAAAUUUUUUUAUGGUGUAAAAUCAUUGCCUUUGGGCAAUCAGGAAUCAUAAUGAUACUUUUCUUUUAGUUAAUGAGUAUUAUAAUAAUAAUAUUCGCAUGAUUUGACAAGCGUAAACAUCUCACUCACCCUUUUUUUUAAAUGAUACUCCCUGUAAUUGUUUUGGCAACUAUUCAUAUUACACCCUAUAUAUUUACUUAUUUUUAUUGAAAUACACAUUUGAUAUAUGUAGGGGAGACUGGGGAGGGUUGAUACACGUUCAAAUUUUCCGCCUCGGUUCUUCAAAGAAGGCGUAAUCACGUGCAGUGCCUCUAUGAGUGUGGAAAAUGUGUCAGUUGAAAUCUAGCAACGAUCGCCUCACGAGUGUUUUUUUUUUAGCUCAAAGUGUGUUUUCUACAUAUUUGAUGUAGGAAUUUGCAUAACAAACGUAAGGCUUUAUCUCUUUAUCAACAAAAACUAACGAAAUUCAUUACUUUAUUCUUGAUGCACAUUGCAUUUAGAACAUAGGUGCUCCUAGUACAGAUCUUCAAUCGAAUAUCAUAAUAUGUUCACGUCCUAUAUUUUCUAAAUUUUUGUCAUAGGGAGUAAAUCUCUCCUCAAAAGAGAAGUUUUAAACAGAAAUGAAUAAACAAAAAAAGGGGGUUUGAUGACUUGGAUCCUGAGGACGCAGAAAAUGAAAAAGAUCCAUGUUCUAAUGAAAGCCGAAAAUAAUUAGUUGCAGUAGAUACAAGCUGGAUCGUCAUCUUCAUCAGAAAAUGGUGUGCCAUUCAGCCUGUGCAAGUAUCAGUAGUAAAAUAGAAAUGUUUACUUUCGAAUAUAGGAAUUAGGUAGUGUUAUGAUAAAAAAAGAUUGAUUUAUUAUUAUUGCUUCUUCCUUAUUUCUUAUUGUAUCAAGCCUACCAUCUACAGAGAGUUUUGAGACACUUUGCACCGACAAUUUCAAGAACUCAUAAUCAAGGUUGAAAUUUCUAUUUUCAGUUAUUAAAUGUUGCUGAACGUUCAAGCGAAGUUCUUGAAUUUCACUGUGACAUAAAUGGAUUGGUAAAUGUUAAACAUACAUUUUUUAUUAACAAUUUUAUAAAAAAUGUAUCAACCCUCCCCAGUCUCCCCUACAUAUAAAGAGAUAACUCCUGAAGAUCUAAAAAACCGAUCGUUAUAAAAUUGUAUCAAAAAUAAGCCGCAUUUCACUCAGAAAGAGAUGGUACCGUUUGUCGAAGAAAUACCGACAAGCUUGAUGAAGUGCAAAAAACUCGUGAAAAUAGGGGUAAUAACACAUGCGGCCACUUUGAACAUACCAACAGACAUGGUAUGGCGUUUGAAGCGUAAACACGUAUUGUAACUGCUCCGCUUAGUUUCGAAUAUUAUUGAAGUAUUUCCAAAGGGGACUUCCAUUUGAGUUUCUCAAGUUUCUGACUAAAAUGGGUGGUACAAGACGAAACCCUAAGACCGAAGACACACUGAAUAUCAGUGGUAGAAUGGCCGAAAUGGAAACCAAAUUCCAAAAAGGACUAGACAAACUGCGUAAGGACUACAUUGAGUAGACCUCCUCCACGCCGAAACAAGAAAAUCCAGCAGAUUUUGAAGAAAAGCUGAAACAAUUCGAAAACAAAAUCAAGGAAGAAAUAAAAAAUUUGAAGAAUGAAAUACAAUUGAUUCAUUCCAGAGUGCAGAAGGCUGAACAAAACUUCGAAAAAAUUGUUAACGAAAACAACCGUAGGAAAAUAAUAUUGAGGGGCAUUCCUGAGAAGGAAAAUACGAAGGAAAUGACAGGGGAAUUGUUAAAUAUAUUCAACAAUUACAUGAAUCUGAACAUUCAAAGAACUGAAGUAGUCACCUGUCAUCGUCUCCAAAAAAAACGAUAACAAACAGAAGGAAAACAAACCGUCACCAGUUGUUGUAGAAUUUGUCACCCAGUGGCGGCGAGAUGAAGUCUUCUACAAUAAAAGACGACUAAAGGAUCCAAUUUCUCGAUCACCGAAGUGCUGAAGAGGAAAGAAAUCCAACUCUUCCAGAAGGCGCGAGAGAUUUUUGGGAGGAACUCCUGGACAAAUAGGGGUAAAGUCUUUAUAUACCAUUAUAACAAAAAAAUACAUGUUCUUGAGGAAAGUCAGUUGCAUUUAUUUAAUUGACAGCGGAGUGGAAGCCUGAACUGUUUAUUUGUUUCUCAAAUUUUUUUUUAAACUGAGUUUUUUGUAUUUUUUGUUGUAAAACUGCGUCUGUGUUCGCUUUUUUUUCUAUUUCUGGUUAUUUUUUUUUUCUUUUUUUCACACACGGUGAACAAUUGAAGCAACUAAACUUCACCGCAAACGAAUCAUUUGAAUCAACAGAAUCAUAAAAUAGUACCUACAAUAAUUCUUCCUAUUACAUAUUAAUGAAAAAUCACAACUCCAAACUUGAACAUAUUAAUAUAGGGUCUUUACUUCCAAGUCUUGAGGAUUUUAAACAGUUCAUUACCACAAAUGAUUUUGACUUUGUAGGAGUAUCGGAAACUUGGCUCAGUGACAGUGACAAACUACGAGGACAUCAAAAUUAACGGUUAUGAGAGUAUAUAUCAAAGCAAACAUGGUAGAGGUGGAGGCGUGGGAUUGGUUGUUAAAAAUUGCUAUAAUUUUACGAGAAUAGAAAAUGAAUAUACUAAAAACUCCAACUUUGAGCAAGUUUGGAUACAUAUUAGCGUCGAUAAGGCAGAUUUCAUUCUGGGUUGUAUAUAUAAACCUCCACACUACAACCAGUCUGCCUUUUUUAAGAGACUUCGAUGAUAUUUUGGCCUCGUUCGCACCUUUCUAUGACAUAUGACAGAAUUUGUCACCGAAGGAUGUUAUCACUUUUCCGACUAGAAUAACUUCAAAAACUGAAACUUUAAUUGAUUUCAUCAUCCUAUCUGACAAUAUAGAAAUUGUCAAAUGUGACACUAUACCGUCAAUGUUUUCAGAUCACGAAUUUAUCUUCUGUGAGUUUCAGUCGCCCGCUGUGAGAAAGGAAGUAGUAUACAGGGAAUGUAGAAGUUAUAAUGAUAUCAACAUACAUCAGUUCGACCAAGAUUUGCACUCCAUUCCAUGGCGCAACAUUUACGAUAUUGAUAAUGCCGAUGGGUAUGGCUGUUCAUGGAAAUGCCGGGUUAGGUUCACCAAGGCAUUCUCUCAUUCACUGGUUAAGAACCCGCGUAUUAUACGUGUUGUCCACAAGAUGACCUCUCGUUGUGCAUCGCUGAUUAACCUUUCUUCCAGUCCAAGGCGGUUAGUAUUUUCAACCAAGUGCUUCUCAACAAGACCGUUCGUAGUGAUUAUAAGUGGUAUAAUUGAAGUGCUGUAUAAGCUCUCUCAGCAUUGUCGUCCGCCGGGAUAGUGACAUCGAUUAUGGUGGCUCUGUUCCCCGCCUUUUCGAAGAUAACUAUGUCAGGUCUAUUGUGUGGAACAGAUCUAUCAGUGAUGAGUGGAGAGUCCCAAUAUAGCUUCAGUUUAUCAUUCUCAAGUAGUUCCUGGGCCAUGGCAUUGUGACGGUCUGUAUAUUCCCUGGGUGCAAGCACUGGACAGGAGGACGUAACGUGUUGUACUGUUUCAGUUGCACAUAGGCUCUGGUGGGGACCACCUGAUCCUGAAUGGCCGCCAAUCUGCCCUCCGUUUCCGGGAAGAGGUAU
This is a long non-coding RNA of Harmonia axyridis, 4172 nucleotides long. RefSeq lists it as uncharacterized. The record is from RefSeq and is a predicted model, not a curated record. The transcript has 5 exons. Lineage: Eukaryota; Metazoa; Arthropoda; Insecta; Coleoptera; Coccinellidae.